RNAcentral lists this unclassified non-coding RNA (445 nucleotides) under Hevea brasiliensis (rubber tree). The record is from RNAcentral. Lineage: Eukaryota; Viridiplantae; Streptophyta; Magnoliopsida; Malpighiales; Euphorbiaceae.
CUUCUCCAAAUUAGGACGCACGCCGCCUCCGCCGUGCUUGAACCGCUUACCCCAUCUUAGAAACAUCAUGGCCUCUCUGAGAGGCCGAAGCGCAUCCCUCCACGACCGGCAUACCAGAGACGCCGCUUGGAUGUUAGUCAAGGUGAAGGAGGCGGCGAUUUUGGUUAAAAUAUCGAAGGGAAGCGUGGAAAAAUCGCCAGCGUUGGAGGAAGACGAUAAUUUUGUUGAUCUAGAAUGGAUUGUAGAUGAAUGGGAAGCCAGGGAUUGGCUUUCUUUUAUGGGUUUGAUGUUGGGUGAAGGAAGAGAUUUGAAUCGAGAUGCAUCUGAUCGAGUCGGCCAUAUCAUUUGCUUCAUCUUCGCAUACUGCCCUUUCCUUUUCAGGUGGACGGAACCAAAGGGAAGGGAGUGAAGUGAAGUGAAAGACGAAGGCGUGGAGGAAACAGCG